UCCGGUUUGUCACCGGCAGUCUCGCAUGAGUCCCCAACUAAAUGCUGGCAACAUGCGACGGGGGUUGCGCUCGUUGCGGGACUUAACCCAACAUCUCACGACACGAGCUGACGACAACCAUGCACCACCUGUCACCGCUGUCCCCGAAGGGAAAGCCUUGUCUCCAAGGAUGUCAACGGGAUGUCAAGACCUGGUAAGGUUCUUCGCGUUGCUUCGAAUUAAGCCACAUACUCCACCGCUUGUGCAGGCCCCCGUCAAUUUCUUUGAGUUUUAAUCUUGCGACCGUACUUCCCAGGCGGCGCAUUUAUCGCGUUAGCUUCGCCACAAACGGGGUCGAUUCCGUUUACAGCAAAUGCGCACCGUUUACAGCCAAGACUAC
This 379-nucleotide unclassified non-coding RNA is filed under the name uncultured bacterium. Its description in RNAcentral is "contains 16S-23S intergenic spacer region". The record is from RNAcentral.